Molecule: ribosomal RNA, 424 nt
Filed under: Verrucomicrobiota bacterium
Lineage: Bacteria; Pseudomonadati; Verrucomicrobiota
Description: Verrucomicrobia bacterium partial 16S ribosomal RNA
Rfam family: Bacterial small subunit ribosomal RNA
Source: RNAcentral
UGAGGAAUAUUGGUCAAUGGGCGCUAGCCUGAACCAGCCAAGUAGCGUGCAGGACGACGGCCCUAUGGGUUGUAAACUGCUUUUAUGCGGGGAUAAAGUCACCCACGUGUGGGUGUUUGCAGGUAUCGCAUGAAUAAGGACCGGCUAAUUCCGUGCCAGCAGCCGCGGUAAUACGGAAGGUCCGGGCGUUAUCCGGAUUUAUUGGGUUUAAAGGGAGUGUAGGCGGCCUGUUAAGCGUGUUGUGAAAUGUAGAUGCUCAACAUCUGAACUGCAGCGCGAACUGGCUGGCUUGAGUACUCGCAACGUGGGCGGAAUUCAUGGUGUAGCGGUGAAAUGCUUAGAUAUCAUGAGGAACUCCUAUUGCGAAGGCAGCUCACGGGAGUGUCACUGACGCUUAAGCUCGAAGGUGCGGGUAUCAAACAGG